CUUUGUUGAGGCUAUUGAACAAUUGGGGCUUUUGGUCGAGAGGAACCUGUAGCUAGUAUGGACAAUAGUGGAAAAAUCAUAUGGGCUAAGCACAAUGAAAUUCAGACUGUUAAUAUUAGGAGUGUUGGUGCAGAUUAUGAGGUUACUGGUGGAGAAAGAUAACCUUUGGUAGUGAAAGAGUUGGGGACCUGUGAUCUUUACCCACAAUGAAAAGUGCAGCAGACAGGUGCCUGUUGUCCUGAUUGGCUGGCACGAUUGCCACAUUGAAGCUCAAAUUGAGAGGUCUCUUGAUGCACAAAUGUUGGAAAAUGAAAAGCCAUGUGAUGCAAUACCAGCAGAAAAAAAGAAAGUAAAAUGCA
Molecule: non-coding RNA, 359 nt
Organism: Camellia sinensis
Lineage: Eukaryota; Viridiplantae; Streptophyta; Magnoliopsida; Ericales; Theaceae
Source: RefSeq, a predicted model, not a curated record